AUGAACGCUGGCGGCGCGCCUAAUACAUGCAAGUCGAGCGAGAAGACGUAGCAAUACGUUUGUAAAGCGGCGAACGGGUGAGGAAUACAUGGGUAACCUACCCUCGAGUGGGGAAUAACUAGCCGAAAGGUUAGCUAAUACCGCGUACGCUCCUUGGACUCGGUUCAGGGAGGAAAGCGAUACCGUGGGUAUCGCGGCUCUGGUUGGGCUCAUGUCCUAUCAGCUUGUUGGUGAGGUAACGGCUCACCAAGGCUUCGACGGGUAGCUGGUCUGAGAGG
RNAcentral lists this ribosomal RNA (278 nucleotides) under uncultured bacterium. Its description in RNAcentral is "partial 16S ribosomal RNA". It matches the Rfam family "Bacterial small subunit ribosomal RNA", at positions 29 to 299 of the family's 1533-position model. The record is from RNAcentral.